This 473-nucleotide small RNA is filed under the name uncultured Glomus. RNAcentral's name for it is "SSU rRNA". It matches the Rfam family "Eukaryotic small subunit ribosomal RNA", at positions 569 to 1045 of the family's 1831-position model. Lineage: Eukaryota; Fungi; Glomeromycota; Glomeromycetes; Glomerales; Glomeraceae. The record is from RNAcentral.
AGCAGCCGCGGUAAUUCCAGCUCCAAUAGCGUAUAUUAAAGUUGUUGCAGUUAAAAAGCUCGUAGUUGAAUUUCGGGAUCAGUUGGUCGGUCGUGCCUCGGUACGUACUGGUCAAAUUGAUUCCUACCUUCUGACGAAUCACGAUGUCAUUAAUUUGGUGUCGCGGGAAAUCAGGACUGUUACUUUGAAAAAUUAGAGUGUUUAAAGCAGGCUCGCGCUUGAAUACAUUAGCAUGGAAUAAUGAAAUAGGACGUUUUGAUUCUAUUUUGUUGGUUUUCUAGGAUCGACGUAAUGAUUAAUAGGGAUAGUUGGGGGCAUUAGUAUUCAAUUGUCAGAGGUGAAAUUCUUGGAUUUUAUUGAAGACUAACUACUGCGAAAGCAUUUGCCAAGGAUGUUUUCAUUAAUCAAGAACGAAAGUUAGGGGAUCGAAGACGAUCAGAUACCGUCGUAGUCUUAACCAUAAACUAUGCCGA